Molecule: non-coding RNA, 299 nt
Organism: Gorilla gorilla gorilla (western lowland gorilla)
Lineage: Eukaryota; Metazoa; Chordata; Mammalia; Primates; Hominidae
Rfam family: Metazoan signal recognition particle RNA
About the family: The signal recognition particle (SRP) is a universally conserved ribonucleoprotein. It is involved in the co-translational targeting of proteins to membranes.
Source: Rfam
CUCAGGUAUGGUGGCAUGUGCCUGUAGUCCCAGCUACAUGGGAGGCUGAGGCAGGAAGAUUGCUUGAGCCCGGGAGUUCUGGGCUACAGUGCACUAUGCCAAUUGGUGUCCACACUAAGCUCGGCAUUAACAUUGUGAUCUCCUGGUAGCAGGGGACUACCAGGUUGCCUAAAGAGGGGUGAUCCGGCCCAGGUCAGAAAUGGAGCAGGUCAAAACUCGCAUGCUGAUUAGUAGUGGGAUCGUGCCUGUGAAUAGCCACUGCAUUUCCACCUGGGAAACAUAGUGAGACCCUGUCUCUG